GUGUGUGUCUGCGGAAGAGGAUGCCUCAUGGAACAUGUUCCUGAGGCUGAUGAUUUCUUUCGUCUGGUUCUCACUGGUGGGUGGCAGGCCUUCCCAAGAACUGCAGGUCCACUAGGGAGCCACUUGGACCUUCGGAUCCGGAGGAACUUGGCGGAGGCUAACACGCGGCAAAAGAUCCUUCUUCUUUCUUCCUUGAUAAGAAGUAAAAGGAACUGCUUGACUUCAAGGGAUUCAUGGGCUUUAGAAUCAGAAACAUCUAGGUUUGAAUCCGUGUUCCAGCCUUGUGCUGUGGGACCUUAGAUGCUUCUGUGCUUCUUCCAGAAAAUGAGAUUAGCAACGUCCCUCUUACUGUGGGGCUGGACGGUAAAGGCUUUUCAGUUCCAAAAGCCAAGACCCUUCUGCUAUGUGACACUCCUCCAAGGUAAAACGUAUAAUGAUGCAAAAUAGCAUUUCCCAAAGUGACAAAAAUACAGUCUUGCAAGCCUACCUUCCUGUCUCUUGGGGUACAGGUCGUCCACAGCUGACAGUGUCACUGAGGCAGGGACGGGAUGCGGUGGGAAUAAAGGAAUGAGGUGAGGUGACCCCCA
Molecule: long non-coding RNA, 587 nt
Filed under: Vulpes vulpes (red fox)
Lineage: Eukaryota; Metazoa; Chordata; Mammalia; Carnivora; Canidae
Description: lncRNA (ENSVVUG00000009042.1)
Source: RNAcentral